RNAcentral lists this ribosomal RNA (447 nucleotides) under uncultured bacterium. RNAcentral describes it as "bacterial SSU rRNA". It matches the Rfam family "Bacterial small subunit ribosomal RNA", at positions 329 to 792 of the family's 1533-position model. The record is from RNAcentral.
UUCCAGACUCCUACGGGAGGCAGCAGUGGGGAAUAUUGCACAAUGGGGGAAACCCUGAUGCAGCGACGCCGCGUGAGUGAAGAAGUAUUUCGGUAUGUAAAGCUCUAUCAGCAGGGAAGAUAAUGACGGUACCUGACUAAGAAGCCCCGGCUAACUACGUGCCAGCAGCCGCGGUAAUACGUAGGGGGCAAGCGUUAUCCGGAUUUACUGGGUGUAAAGGGUGCGUAGGUGGCAUGGCAAGUCAGAAGUGAAAGCCCGGGGCUCAACCCCGCGGACUGCUUUUGAAACUGUCAGGCUGGAGUACAGGAGAGGUAAGCGGAAUUCCUAGUGUAGCGGUGAAAUGCGUAGAUAUUAGGAGGAACACCAGUGACGAAGGCGGCUUACUGGACUGUAACUGACACUGAGGCACGAAAGCGUGGGGAGCAAACAGGAUUAGAUACCCUAGUA